Molecule: ribosomal RNA, 39 nt
Filed under: Dendrobium moniliforme
Lineage: Eukaryota; Viridiplantae; Streptophyta; Magnoliopsida; Asparagales; Orchidaceae
Description: partial 26S ribosomal RNA
Source: RNAcentral
GUGACCCCAGGAUCGGCGAGGCCACCCGCUGAGUUUAAG